UCCUCUGUAGCUCAAUGGUAGAGCAGCGCACUGUUCAUGCGUCGGUUGUUGGUUCGAGUCCAGCUGGGGGAGC
This 73-nucleotide transfer RNA is filed under the name Microbacterium phage Celaena. RNAcentral's name for it is "tRNA-Asn". It matches the Rfam family "tRNA". From Rfam's summary of the family: Transfer RNA (tRNA) molecules are approximately 80 nucleotides in length. Lineage: Duplodnaviria; Heunggongvirae; Uroviricota; Caudoviricetes. The record is from RNAcentral. RNAcentral also lists the same sequence under 2 other names.